This 1366-nucleotide long non-coding RNA is filed under the name Populus tremula. Its description in RNAcentral is "long non-coding RNA (PTRE_LNC000926)". The record is from RNAcentral. Lineage: Eukaryota; Viridiplantae; Streptophyta; Magnoliopsida; Malpighiales; Salicaceae.
AAAUACAAGUACCAUCCAGUUGCAGGCACGGUGUUUACCCAACUUCUCCACUUCAACAGGGUGCAUCAUUACAUGACUAAUCUUGCUGGGAAAUACAAGACUUACAGGCUGCGCGCCCCUUUCAGAAGUGAGAUUUACACUGUUGACCCUGUAAAUGUUGAGUACAUACUCAAAACCAACUUUGAAAAUUAUGGCAAGGUAAUUUAUUUCUUCUUACUGUGAUGUAUUUCGUCAAUAUCAGUACCAAAUGUUUGGUCCUUGUUUUUAUGACGUGAAUUGUGUAAAAUUAUCUAGAUGAAUUCAACACCCAAUUAUGAGUAUUCACAAAACAAUUUGGUAGGGUGAUGAGAAUUUGAGUGGGGAUGGUUUUGACUGUUCACUUUUCCAUCAGGAUUAGAUUCCAAUGGCUAAAAGGGUAAAAAUUUAGCUUCCUCAAUCUUUGUGCAGGGGGACCAUAAUUACGACAAUUUAAGUGGGUUGCUAGGUGAUGGAAUUUUCACUGUUGAUGGUCACAAAUGGCGCCAACAAAGAAAGGUUUCGAGCUAUGAGUUCUCCACAAAGGUUUUGAGGGACUUCAGCAGUGUGAUCUUCAGGAAGAAUGUGGCAAAACUUGCUAAUAUAGUGUCUGAUGCUGCAAAAGCUAACCAGUCAAUGGACAUACAGGUUAGUAUUUGAUCCAAUGUCACAUCAUGAAUUGAUUUUCAAAUUACGUGACCUUCUAAGCUUAACUGGUUGUGCAGGACCUGUUUAUGAAAUCAACCUUAGAUUCGAUAUUCAAAGUUGGAUUUGGGGUUGAGCUAGACAGCAUGUGUGGAUCAAAUGAAGAAGGUGUCAAAUUUACCAGUGCUUUUGAUGAUGCAAGUGCAUUGACCCUUUGGCGAUAUGUUGACGUGUUCUGGAAAAUCAAGAGGUUUUUGAAUAUUGGAUCGGAAGCUACAUUAAAGAAAAACGUCAAAGUGGUUAAUGAUUUUGUGUAUAAACUAAUCAAUAAAAAAAUUGAGCUAAUGCGUACCUCAAAAGAAGUUUCUUCUGUGAGUAUCUCUCCUUGAAACUAUUAUUUCUGAUAGAUUGCAGAGGCAUGAAUUUUACUUGAUCUUUCAUGGAAAAUGCAGUUAAAGAAAGAUGACAUUUUAUCAAGGUUCCUGCAAGUGACCGAGAAUGAUCCAACAUACUUACGGGACAUAAUUCUCAAUUUUGUGAUUGCUGGAAAAGACACAACAGCAACUGCUCUAUCAUGGUUCAUCUACAUGUUGUGCAAGAAUCCAGCUGUGCAGAAUAAGAUUGCACAAGAAGUAAGAGAAGCAACUAAAGUGAAGGAGAUUACAGACUAUGCAGAAUUUGCAGCCAGUAUUAAUGAAGAAGCUCU